GGCGUUGCAUCAUUUUCUUCUAUUGUCAUGAUUGUCUUAAUUGCAAAUAUGGGAAGUGGUUAAAAUGCUAAUGAGACAGCUAUUAUAAAUGACCACCAGAUGUCAUUGUUUUCUUAAUUAAAAACUCCUCUUUCAUUCAUACCAGUAAAUUACUUUAUCAUGUUUAUACUGAAAAAUAAUUUUGCUUGGAGUUAGAAAAAAUAUGGUCAUCAAAAGAGUUGACAUGUUACUAUGUACAUUUACCAUUAUGUUACUUGAUGUUCUUGCAAUACACACAGUACGGUGACUAGUCAAUCUUUGUGAACUACUUUUCAUAGGAUGGGAGUCAUUGAAUAUGCGUAUAUAAUCAAUAAUUAAAAAUAGUCUACUUAUGUUAAUAAGGAAAAGUUCUUUUAUGUCUUAAAAAUGCAUUUCAUGGCGAGGUACAGAAAAUAUACUGAAACAGUAGACUAUGGGUGACUAUAGGUGAACUAGGUACAAGAGAACUCUUAAUCUUAAAUACUACAAACCACCUCUGUACUAUGGAAGAUAAUGAUAUAACUGGACUAGAAAUACACACAACCUGUAAUUAACUGCCUUUACAGCGCUUUCG
RNAcentral lists this long non-coding RNA (592 nucleotides) under Mytilus galloprovincialis (Mediterranean mussel). The record is from RNAcentral. Lineage: Eukaryota; Metazoa; Mollusca; Bivalvia; Mytilida; Mytilidae.